Molecule: long non-coding RNA, 1834 nt
Filed under: Homo sapiens (human)
Lineage: Eukaryota; Metazoa; Chordata; Mammalia; Primates; Hominidae
Description: HSALNT0141209
Source: RNAcentral
AGUUUGCUUUGAGGUAAGGAUGGCCAGUGUGGAUCUUUCUUAUAUAAUCUCUAGGUCUUAUAUUUUAGUUUCCUACCUGAAAAUUUGUGAUGCCACUUUUAAUCUACGACGGUAAAGGAAAACAAUUUCUCUUAUAUGCUAUUUAAGAGUUAGGUAUUUAAGAUUAAAGGAACUAUGUAUAAAUAUCACUUAUCCAGAAGUCUUCUGAAUAUUUCAUUUCUCAUGGAAAUGCUGGAUGUUUUUAAGCAACAUUAUCCAUUAUAAAACAAUUCAAAAAGGGGGAAGAAAAUCCUACAAAGAUAACAAAAACUGUGAGGUUUUUUUUGUAUGAAGUAGCCAAUUUUCACAAAAAGUGCUGUUAGCGGUUUAUAACACUGCUAGGAAAUGUAUUUUAUAUUAAAAAUCGCUAACAGCACAGUCAUUGUUUUCAAGAUGCUUUAGAAUGGGAAGAAAUGUUCAAUCUUUUUAACGUGUAUCGGCAUGUAUAGGGUGUACUCUUUUAAAGAAAAAUUUCAACUAUUAUAAAAUCUAAGAAACUUUAAAACUGUGUCAUUUAUAAUGUAAAAUUAAUGCAGCUGAGAUUCAGUGGUUGACUCAUAGCUCCCACAUUCAUCUUCAGUUCUCUUUAGCUCAUAUGGUUUUCUUUAAAAAUUAGUGAUAUCAGCUAAAUGGAACUAUUUUCCACUCCUACCCACAGAGAAAAGUGCUUUUGUGAACAUGUCAGCUCUGUUCCAUCAUUACAUGCCAUCAUGCAGUGCAACAGAAGCAGGCUGGCUGUGCAUACUUGAUAACCAAUAUUAGUACAGAUUUGAGAGCAAAAUCCAAAGAAGAUAAUACUGUAUUUCCAUCUAUUUAUUUUAUGCACAUAAGCCACCUUUUUAGAACCAAGGAAUUUUAUAGCUAGACAAGAUCUUGGAAGUCUUCCAAUCUAGCCUCUUUAUUUUGUACAUAUGGAAACUGAGGCACAAAGAGGUUCAGCAACUUCCCCAAGGUCACAUAGCUGGUAGAGGUAGGCUGGGACUAGAACCCAGGUCUGUGUGACUCCAAAGUCUGUGCUCCUCCCACUAUACUGCUUCACAGAUAGGAGCUGAUCUGCCUCAAAUCUUCUGCCCCUUGGCCUUUCCACAACUCUGCAUUGCUGCCAUCUAACAGUGCCUUCCACUGGUGCCAUGCUAAAGCUCGUUAGGAGGCAACUUAACAUUGUUCUGUAAAAGCUCUACAGAUGUAGGAUGCUAGCUAUCUGUUCUCCCCGGAAAUCUUUUCAAUUCAAUUCUGCAAAUAACUUAGGCUUUCCCAGACUAAGCAGUUCCUUCUCUCAUUCCUGCAAUUUGCUUUCCAGUUACCUUCUUCUGGACACAUUCAUUUCCAGUGCCCCUUCUGUUAAAAUGGGCCCCACUAGAAUCUCUGUUGCUGGGCACGGUGGCUCACGCCUGUAAUCCCGGCACUUUGGGAGGCUGAGGCGGGUGGAUCACCUGAGGUGGGGAGUUCAAGACCAGCCUGACCAACAUGAAGAAACCCCAUCUCUACUAAAAAUACAAAAUUAGGCAGACAUGGUGGCACGUGCUUGUAAUCCCACCUACUUGGGAGGCUAAGGCAGGAGAAUCGCUUGAGCCCGGGAAGCUGAGGUUGUGGUGAGCCAAGAUCGCUUCAUUGCACUCUAGCCUGGACAACAAGAGCGAAACUCCGUCUCAAAAAGAAAAAAAAAAUUGGCCCCACUCAAAAUGGUACUCCUCCAAGUUGCUUUUUCAUCCUUGUAUUCCCCAUGGUCAUUCAUCCCACUGCUGUCCUUCUGUCUCCAAGUCCUCUUUGCCUUGCUUCCUUCCCUCUCAACCCA